GACGAACCGUACGAACGUUAUUCGGAAUCACUGGGCUUAAAGGGUGCGUAGGCUGUGCGGAAAGUUGGGUGUGAAAUCCCUCGGCUCAACCGAGGAACCGCGCCCAAAACUACCGUGCUGGAGGAAGACAGAGGUGAGCGGAACUUAGGGUGGAGCGGUGAAAUGCGUUGAUAUCCUAAGGAACACCGGUGGCGAAAGCGGCUCACUGGGUCUUUUCUGACGCUGAUGCACGAAAGCUAGGGUAGCGAACGGGAUUAGAAACCCCGGUAGUCC
Molecule: ribosomal RNA, 273 nt
Filed under: uncultured bacterium
Lineage: Bacteria
Description: partial 16S ribosomal RNA
Rfam family: Bacterial small subunit ribosomal RNA
Source: RNAcentral